Dromaius novaehollandiae (emu) is the source of this 2544-nucleotide long non-coding RNA. RefSeq lists it as uncharacterized. The transcript is spliced from 3 exons. The record is from RefSeq and is a predicted model, not a curated record. NCBI's taxonomy places the organism in Eukaryota, Metazoa, Chordata, Aves, Casuariiformes, Dromaiidae.
UAAUGUACAGCAAGGGGCUAUUCCCACGGGCUCAUAGGGGUUUCGUUAAAUCUCAAGGACUGUGCCAGGCACAAAAAGGGAUCCAGUAGUUUGGUUGGUAAAAAUAGGGUUUUAUAGAUCAAAAAAAUCAACUGACUUUUCCCUAUGGUUUAAGAAAAAAGGGUUGUGGAAGCGAUGAGUGUGAUUCUGCAAAUCCUUCUUCAUGAGUCCUUUUAAUUUGGAGGGGUGACUCAUCGGCGCAGGGACUACUCGGAGGAUUGCAUGACCACAGGAUGCGGCGCUGGAGAAGUGUUUUUGUAAACAAAUAAACAUGCUCCUUCCUGCUGGAAACACAUCUCUCAGCAGCGGCCGAGCACCUGAGAACCUGCUAGUGAAAGUAGUAAGAAAUACUAAACGCGGUGCCAGUGGGUUGGUCGAGCUCCAAAACCAAGAGGAACACAGGAACGACUUUUUAAGUGAAAACUGCCUGAAGAGACAGUGCUACAACCUGACAACGUCUAAGCGGAGGGACUCUCCCGGCACAGACCAGCAGCUGGAAACCGGAGGAGGCUCCAAACCAGCCCAGGGCCCUGCUGUGCCCGGGCAGACGCGAGCCAAGGGGAGACGCUGCGGAGAGAAGACCACGCAGCAUCGCGGGGCAGAGCUUGCCGUAGCCGGGUCGAGAUGUUUCAGUUGCAAACGAUAGGUCUAUUUUACCUAUUAGAGCUUGUCUAGACUAAGGAAAUGUUCCUGCUAUGACUACGCUGAGGUAAUUACACCAGCCUAAACCCCUUUGGGCAAAACAGAGCUCUCCGUGGCCUGAUUUACUCUGGGCACUUGCCAGGAUUCGUUCGGCUGGUACCAGCCUGUCCUGCCCGAGCGGCAACGCCGCGCGGGAGCCUCGGCCCCCGGUUCGCGGGUCUGCGAAACAUCUGCUCUGCGAGUCCGUCCAUCGGCCCGUCGUUGGGGAAGAGCUGCGCAAAGGUGCCUCCAAAAAACGGCAACUGUUCAGAAGGCUCCUCAGAAAUGCAGUGCAGAACCGAUUAAUCUGCCGUGAAAAGCAUGCUAAAUAAGCCUGGUUUUAAAUUAAAGCACACUUCGAUUUGUGUACGCAGAUCGGAGAAACGCAUCUGCGUCGAAUGCGAUGAAAUAGGAAGGCAGAUGUAGGACAUUCAACCUGCUAAAUGGGCUAUAUGGACUAAACGGACCUAUACGAGGUGUAAAAUGUGUCCACGGAGAGCAAAACGAAAGCUCAUCCAAACUGGUCCUACUACAUGAACAAAAACGUAAGAAAACAAAAGCGACGUGUAAAUUCAAGUGCUUCUGCUGGAAGCCCCUUUCAGUGGAAGUGAGGGUGAAAUUUUAGCCUAAGAGAAGCCAGCGGCAACUUUUACAUCGACUUUAAAGGAGAGGCUUCACUUAAUGCAACGCGUAUGGCGAAGACACACAGCGCCAGUCCGCAUACUGUGAUUCAAAUAUAUAUGUGCUGGGCUUCACAUACAGCUUCAGACAACAUGUUGAUAAAUGCAGGAUAAUGAAUGGAUAGACUGACAGACAGAUUUAGUUAUCGUUUAAUCUGGCUUACUAUUAUCUGCAGCUGUUACAGUUAAAAUGUUCUAAAAAGUUACUGCACGGCUUUAAUUCCAAACAGUUGCUGGAAGGACAGUUAGAAACCGUGAAAACAAAUACGCUCCUUUUCUUUAAAUGUCUCAUUAAAAAAGGGGGGGGGGGGAAAGCAUGUCUGCAGCACAGAGAUGACAUCAGAAAAGUUCCACGAUUCACAGAUGGCUGCACCUUUCAAAAAAAAUUAAAAUAGGAACCCUAGAUUGAUUUAAUCACCCAUACAAGCGAAAAAACGUAAUGAAGAUACUUAGUGCCAAAUUGGUUUCUUGAGACCUUUUCCAUGUAAAUAAUACAAAUCAAACCUUGAAGUUCAGCGCAGAUAUGAUCUGACAAGUAAGCCAGGCUUUUUGUUUCACUUUGAUCCAGCUCCAGAAAUAUUUUCUCCGAGGUAAAGUUGUUUUUAAGUGUUUUCCAUUUCAAUUUUUAAUUUCGGGUAUUCAUCAUAUAGGAAACUUGCCUAUAACGCUUCAAACAUUAGUCUGGCUAAACUGGCUCACAGCCCUAAGCGUAAAGAUUCCCUCGUAUUCGCUCCUAAGGGUGGAAACAUGAGGAGCUCACAGCGUGACAGGGGAUCAGUUUUAACUCCCUGUUGGUUUUAAGGGUACGCUGAACGUGGGCACCCGGAGCGGCGUCUUUCCAGACAUCAGGUCCACCCGACUCCCGUAUUUCUAGCACUGCCCCACUUCCCAUAGGUGCCUUUGGGACUAAUCCUUUUGAAAACGGGAGGAUGGAUAGGCCGCUGUUUUCUAAGUGCUUCCCCAAAUUCCCCAAGCUCACAAAUUGCGGUGCCGAACGCCUAAACACAGAUUUGGGCACCUUGCUGUACGCAGCCAGGUUUUAAAAACUCAGCUCUCGCGAAAAAUGUAAAAUCCUCUGGAUUCUCUUACUUCCACACAUUCAUAUGUAGCAUAUUUAGAAUUAACAGGGCCCCUUUUCGCUUUU